CGCGGGGGAUACUGCUUGGCUAGGGGACGAGAGAGGCGGACGGUAUUUCCGGGGUAGGGGUGAAAUCCUAUAAUCCCGGGAAGACCACCAGUGGCGAAGGCUGUCUGCUAGAACGCGCCCGACGGUGAGGGAUGAAGGCUGGGGGGGCGAACCGGAUUAGAUACCCGGGUAGUCCCAGCUGUAAACGAUGCAGGCUAGGUGUUUGGACGGCCACGUGCCGUUCUAGUGCCGCAGGGAAGCUGUUAAGCCUGCCGCCUGGGGAGUACGAUCGCAAGAUUGAAACUUAAAGGAAUUGGCGGGGGAGCACCACAAGGGGUGAAGCUUGCGGUUUAAUUGGAUUCAACGCCGGG
This 350-nucleotide ribosomal RNA is filed under the name uncultured archaeon. RNAcentral's name for it is "bacterial SSU rRNA". It matches the Rfam family "Archaeal small subunit ribosomal RNA", at positions 573 to 922 of the family's 1478-position model. The record is from RNAcentral.